AGUGAACGCUGGCGGUAGGCCUAACACAUGCAAGUCGAACGGCAGCACAGUAAGAGCUUGCUCUUACGGGUGGCGAGUGGCGGACGGGUGAGGAAUACAUCGGAAUCUACUUUUUCGUGGGGGAUAACGUAGGGAAACUUACGCUAAUACCGCAUACGACCUACGGGUGAAAGCAGGGGAUCUUCGGACCUUGCGCGAUUGAAUGAGCCGAUGUCGGAUUAGCUAGUCGGCGGGGUAAAGGCCCACCAAGCCGACGAUCCGUAGCGGGUCUGAGAGGAUGAUCAGCAACCCUGGACUGGAGACACGGGCCAGACACCUACGGGAGGCAGCAGUGGGGAAUAUUGGACAAUGGGCGAAAGCCUGAUCCAGCCAUACCGCGGGGGUGAAGAAGGCCUUCGGUUGGUAAAGCCUUUUUGUUGGGAAAGAAAAGCAGCAGGUUAAUACCCCGCUGUUCGGACGGUACCCAAAGAAUAAGCACCGGCUAAUUUCGU
Molecule: ribosomal RNA, 491 nt
Filed under: uncultured bacterium
Lineage: Bacteria
Description: partial 16S ribosomal RNA
Rfam family: Bacterial small subunit ribosomal RNA
Source: RNAcentral